GUGCCAGCAGCUGCGGUAAUACAUAGGUCGCGAGCGUUAUUCGGAUUUAUUGGGCGUAAAGCAAGCGCAGGCGGAUUGAUAAGUUCUGUGUUAAAAGCAGCUGCUCAACAGUUGUUUGCACCGAAUACUGUCAGUCUAGAAUUUGGUAGGGAGUUUCGGAAUUAAAUAUGGAGCGGUGGAAUGUGUAGAUAUAUUUAAGAACACCAGAAGCGAAGGCGGAAACUCAAGCCAUAAUUGACGCUUAGGCUUGAAAGUGUGGGGAGCAAAUGGGAUUAGAUACCCCAGUAGUCCACACCGUAAACGAUGGGUAUUGGGUGCCGGGGUUUGUGCUUCGGCGCUGUAGCUUACGUGUUAAAUACCCCGCCUGGGUAGUACAUAUGCAAAUAUGAAACUCAAAGGAAUUGACGGGGACCUGAACAAGUGGUGGAACAUGUUGCUUAAUUCGAUAAUACACGAAAAACCUUACCAAGGUUUGACAUCCCCCGCGAAACUAUAGAAAUAUAGCGGAGGUUAUCGGGGUGACAGGUGGUGCAUGGUUGUCGUCAGCUCGUGUCAUGAGAUGUUUGGUUAAGUCCCGCAACGAGCGCAACCCCACUCCUUAGUUACCUAAUCUAGGGAGACUGAACAGUAAUGUAUAGGAAGGUUGGGAUCACGUCAAAUCAUCAUGCCCCUUAUGCCUUGGGCUGCAAACGUGUUACAAUGGCGAGUACAAUGUGUCGCAAGCUAGCGAUAGUGAGCUAAUCACCAAAACUCGUCUCAGUUCGGAUAGGAGGCUGCAAUUCGCCUCCUUGAAGUUGGAAUCACUAGUAAUCCCGUGUCAGCUAUAUCGGGGUGAAUACGUUCCCAGGUC
Molecule: ribosomal RNA, 850 nt
Filed under: uncultured Mycoplasma sp.
Lineage: Bacteria; Bacillati; Mycoplasmatota; Mollicutes; Mycoplasmatales; Mycoplasmataceae
Description: bacterial SSU rRNA
Rfam family: Bacterial small subunit ribosomal RNA
Source: RNAcentral